GAUGAACGCUGGCGGCGUGCCUAAUACAUGCAAGUCGAGCGAACGGACGAGAAGCUUGCUUCUCUGAUGUUAGCGGCGGACGGGUGAGUAACACGUGGAUAACCUACCUAUAAGACUGGGAUAACUUCGGGAAACCGGAGCUAAUACCGGAUGAUAUUUUGAACCGCAUGGUUCAAAAGUGAAAGACGGUCUUGCUGUCACUUAUAGAUGGAUCCGCGCUGCAUUAGCUAGUUGGUAAGGUAAUGGCUUACCAAGGCAACGAUACAUAGCCGACCUGAGAGGGUGAUCGGCCACCCUGGAACUGAGACACGGUCCAGACUCCUACGGGAGGCAGCAGUAGGGAAUCUUCCGCAAAGGGCGAAAGCCUGACGGAGCAACGCCGCGUGAGUGAUGAAGGUCUUCGGAUCGUAAAACUCUGUUAUUAGGGAAGAACAUAUGUGUAAGUAACUGUGCACAUCUUGACGGUACCUAAUCAGAAAGCCACGGCUAACUACGUG
Molecule: ribosomal RNA, 497 nt
Filed under: uncultured bacterium
Lineage: Bacteria
Description: partial 16S ribosomal RNA
Rfam family: Bacterial small subunit ribosomal RNA
Source: RNAcentral